This 468-nucleotide ribosomal RNA is filed under the name uncultured bacterium. Its description in RNAcentral is "partial 16S ribosomal RNA". It matches the Rfam family "Bacterial small subunit ribosomal RNA", at positions 28 to 507 of the family's 1533-position model. The record is from RNAcentral.
GACGAACGCUGGCGGCGUGCUUAACACAUGCAAGUCGAACGGAAAGGCCCUGCUUUUGUGGGGUGCUCGAGUGGCGAACGGGUGAGUAACACGUGAGUAACCUGCCCUUGACUUUGGGAUAACUUCAGGAAACUGGGGCUAAUACCGGAUAGGAGCUCCUGCUGCAUGGUGGGGGUUGGAAAGUUUCGGCGGUUGGGGAUGGACUCGCGGCUUAUCAGCUUGUUGGUGGGGUAGUGGCUUACCAAGGCUUUGACGGGUAGCCGGCCUGCGAGGGUGACCGGCCACAUUGGGCCUGAGAUACGGCGCAGACUCCUACGGGAGGCAGAAGUGGGGAAUAUUGCGCAAUGGGCGGACGCCUGAUGCAGCAACGCCGCGUGCGGGAUGACGGCCUUCGGGUGGUAAACCGCUUUCGCCUGUGACGAAGCGUGCGUGACGGUAAUGGGUAAAGAAGCACCGGCUAACUACGUG